CCUACGGGAGGCAGCAGUGAGGAAUAUUGGUCAAUGGGCGCGAGUCUGAACCAGCCAAGUAGCGUGAAGGAUGACUGCCCUACGGGUUGUAAACUUCUUUUAUAUGGGCAUAAAAUGUUCCACGUGUGCCUUUUUGUAUGUACCUUAUGAAUAAGGAUCGGCUAACUCCGUGCCAGCAGCCGCGGUAAUACGGAGGAUCCGCGCGUUAUCCGGAUUUAUUGGGUUUAAAGGGAGCGUAGGUGGGUUGUUAAGUCAGUUGUGAAAGUUUGCGGCUCAACCGUAAAAUUGCAGUUGAUACUGGCAGUCUUGAGUACAGUAGAGGUAGGCGGAAUUCGUGGUGUAGCGGUGAAAUGCUUAGAUAUCACGAAGAACUCCGAUUGCGAAGGCAGCUUACUAAACUGCCACUGACACUGAUGCUCGAAAGUGUGGGUAUCAAACAGGAUUAGAUACCCUGGUAGUC
Molecule: ribosomal RNA, 460 nt
Filed under: uncultured bacterium
Lineage: Bacteria
Description: partial 16S ribosomal RNA
Rfam family: Bacterial small subunit ribosomal RNA
Source: RNAcentral